RNAcentral lists this ribosomal RNA (534 nucleotides) under Staphylococcus aureus. RNAcentral's name for it is "bacterial SSU rRNA". It matches the Rfam family "Bacterial small subunit ribosomal RNA", at positions 166 to 687 of the family's 1533-position model. The record is from RNAcentral. Lineage: Bacteria; Bacillati; Bacillota; Bacilli; Caryophanales; Staphylococcaceae.
AUACCGGAUAAUAUUUUGAACCGCAUGGUUCAAAAGUGAAAGACGGUCUUGCUGUCACUUAUAGAUGGAUCCGCGCUGCAUUAGCUAGUUGGUAAGGUAACGGCUUACCAAGGCAACGAUGCAUAGCCGACCUGAGAGGGUGAUCGGCCACACUGGAACUGAGACACGGUCCAGACUCCUACGGGAGGCAGCAGUAGGGAAUCUUCCGCAAUGGGCGAAAGCCUGACGGAGCAACGCCGCGUGAGUGAUGAAGGUCUUCGGAUCGUAAAACUCUGUUAUUAGGGAAGAACAUAUGUGUAAGUAACUGUGCACAUCUUGACGGUACCUAAUCAGAAAGCCACGGCUAACUACGUGCCAGCAGCCGCGGUAAUACGUAGGUGGCAAGCGUUAUCCGGAAUUAUUGGGCGUAAAGCGCGCGUAGGCGGUUUUUUAAGUCUGAUGUGAAAGCCCACGGCUCAACCGUGGAGGGUCAUUGGAAACUGGAAAACUUGAGUGCAGAAGAGGAAAGUGGAAUUCCAUGUGUAGCGGUGAAAU